Tarenaya hassleriana is the source of this 600-nucleotide long non-coding RNA. RefSeq lists it as uncharacterized. NCBI's taxonomy places the organism in Eukaryota, Viridiplantae, Streptophyta, Magnoliopsida, Brassicales, Cleomaceae. The record is from RefSeq and is a predicted model, not a curated record. The transcript has 2 exons.
CAUAUGUCUCCAUAACUUCCAAAUGUUUCAGUCGAUCUUCGGUCCUAAUAUAAAAAGGGACCAUCUCCCCUCAUAGACUCACCACUUGCAUAUGCACAAAAAGAAGAAGAAAAAGUUCAUUACAAAAUAUACAAAAAAAUCUUCCGAAAAGAUGGCAAUUAGGGUUUCCUGCAAAUCCAUCCUUCUCCUUCUUCUUCUUCUUCUUCUUCUCAUCCUCUUCCUCUCUUCUCCUACUAAAGCAAGAAGUUUGCGAGAAACCUACGAGAGUGGAAAAUCGACGGCGGAGAAGGGACGAGAGAGACGAUCGUUAGGGCACGGAGGAGGAGGAGGGAGCGACGGUGAUGGGUUGGUGGAUAUGGAUUACAAUACGGCUAACAAGAAAACUCCUAUCCAUAAUCGAAGACGAUAAAUACAUUUUUUUUCUGAUACGUUUUUUUGUUAGUUUUCUUUAUAAAAACAUUACAAAGAUAUAUAGAAAAAGGUAAAGGAUAUGAUCAGAACCAAUGUAUAAAUCUGACAAAUCUCUUUGUGUAAACAUUUCAUACACAUGGAAGAUCAUGUACGUAGUUAUACAUAUAUAUAUACACAUAUAUGCGUGUA